AGAGUGGGCGGCAGGACUGCUUCCGGGUGACGGAGGUCGGCCCCGGCAAGAUGGCGGCGCCCUUGGAGCUCAGCUGCUGGGGAGGCGGCUGGGGGCUCCCUUCGGUCCACAGCGAGUCCCUGGUGGUGAUGGCUUACGCCAAGUUCUCUGGCGCGCCCUUGAAAAUCAACGUCAUAGACCACACCUGGAGGGGUUCGAGAGGUGAUGUACCAGUUUUGACAACUGAAGACAGCGUUGUUUCUCAGCCUGCAAAAAUACUAAACUUUUUAAGAAAACAGAAAUACAAUGCUGACUGUGAACUCUCAGCAAAACAAGGGGCAGACACCCUGGCGUACAUUGCCCUCCUGGAAGAGAAACUUCUCCCUGCUGUGCUUCACACGUUCUGGGUUGAGAAUGACAAUUAUUUUACUGUGACAAAGCCGUGGUUUGCCUCCCGCAUCCCCUUCCCUCUAAGUUUGAUCCUGCCUGGAAGGAUGUCCAGAGGAGCACUGAAUAGAAUUCUCUUGACUAGGGGAGAACCACCACUCUACCACAUCCGUGAAGUGGAGGCACAGAUAUACAGAGAUGCCAAGGAGUGCCUAAAUCUUCUGUCACACAGACUGGGAACAUCUCAGUUUUUCUUUGGUGACACACCUUCCACCUUGGACGCCUACGUGUUUGGUUUCCUCGCACCUCUUUAUAAAGUGCGCUUUCCCAAAGUUCACUUACAAGAGCAUCUGAAACAGCUUUCCAACCUGUGUCGACUCUGCGAUGACAUCCUAAACAGCUACUUUAGGCAUGGGCCUGCAGCAUUUUCCUCCAUGAACAGAAAUCAGUAGCAGAUUGACUUUGGUGAGGUACACUCCCAUGAUUCCACUACUUGAAAACUGAUUGCAACAAAACUGGACAUAUAGUAAGUAGAGGGCUCUUGGCACUUAGGAUGGACUUCUCUGUGAUGGGGGCCUUAUGCUUAAGGGACUGGGCAUUAAGUUUAUAUUUGUAGAGGUGGCUGAAGUUGUCCUUUUAAGAAACAGAAGUUAUGAGACAGCUGACUUAGGUAGACAAGUUGUUGUUAUUUGUGGUGGAUUAUCUUCUUCACAUAUAGGGAAGUCUAGGAAACGGGAAGUUAGGGAAUCAAGUAACAUCCAACCAUGUCACUCUGGAGCAGUGGCUAGCAAAUCUGACUACACAGCUCUUCCAUACUUCCCAAAUUAAAAUCUCCCACGAUCAAUCCUAGAAGGCUCUGCUUCUAGAAAUCCCUUUAAAAUGUCUUGGGUGCCUGGUGAGUAGCCGUUAGGGAAUCGGUACCUUAGUAAGAUGCCUGUGGCAUUAAAACUGAUGACCUGCUGGGUAUUGGUGGCACUCACCUUUAAUCCCAGCACUCGGGAGGCAGAGGCAGGCAGAUCUCUGUGAGUUCGAGGCCAGCCUGGUCUACAGAGUAAGUUCCAGGACAGCCUCCAAAACAAUACAGAGAAAGCCUGUCUCGAUAAAACAAAAAAACAAACGAAAAACCCGAUGAUCUAUCUAGUGAUUAGGGAGGGGGCACAUAACCCUGAGAGUGCCGUGCCUUUACUAACUAACCACUGUAGCUGGCUGCAUGUCCUGUGGCUCAGGGUCUUCCAAGAACACAAGUCAGUGUUUUCCUUUCUGACUUCCUGCGGAGCACUGCUGUCCCUCCUAACUUUGCCCUUGAACCCAAAUAUGUUUUCUCUUUGGGUGGGGGGGUUUAGUUGGGAAGGUGGAUAAACUGAAAACAUUUUUUUUUCAGUCUUAAACAGCUUGAAAACCUUUCAAAGUUUCCUUUCUUCUCCUGAUUUCUCUCCUGGCUUCUCAGGCACCUCUCCAGCUGGUCAAGAAAUGAUAGAUGCAAACCUGCGGAAACUCACACAGCUUGUAAAUAAGGAAUCCAACUUAAUUGAAAAGAUGGAUGACAAUCUCCGCCAAAGCCCUCAGCUUCUUCCUCGGAAGCUUCCAACCCUCAAGC
This is an RNA transcript of Mesocricetus auratus (golden hamster), 1963 nucleotides long. It is a transcript of the gene named metaxin 3, with no coding region annotated. The transcript has 9 exons. Lineage: Eukaryota; Metazoa; Chordata; Mammalia; Rodentia; Cricetidae. The record is from RefSeq and is a predicted model, not a curated record.